This is an RNA transcript of Anopheles stephensi (Asian malaria mosquito), 7152 nucleotides long. It is a transcript of the gene named synaptosomal-associated protein 25, with no coding region annotated. The record is from RefSeq and is a predicted model, not a curated record. The transcript has 9 exons. Lineage: Eukaryota; Metazoa; Arthropoda; Insecta; Diptera; Culicidae.
UUUAACGAAAACGUCAAAGCCUUCGCAGUUUUGGACGAAACCUGUGCUAGAACCGAAACUGGUGCUUGGAACAGAAGAGUGAAAAUUGUGUCUGCGUCAAACUUUUCCAAAACCUCUGUCGAUCGCUUUUCGAAGCAGCUCGUGUUAUUUCUUCAACGCUUUAACUCUCCUCGAAACCAACCCCAAACUAAACCAGAAUGCCGGCAGCAGCACCCGCGGAAAAUGGGGCAGGCGUACCCAAAACCGAGCUCCAGGAGCUCCAAAUUAAACAGCAGCAGGUUGUCGAUGAGUCGCUGGACAGUACCCGACGCAUGCUGGCACUAUGUGAGGAGAGCAAGGAAGCCGGGAUUCGAACCCUGGUGGCCCUUGAUGAUCAGGGAGAGCAAUUGGACCGGAUCGAGGAGGGCAUGGACCAGAUCAAUGCCGAUAUGCGUGAAGCUGAGAAGAAUUUAAGUGGCAUGGAAAAAUGCUGCGGCAUCUGUGUCUUACCAUGCAACAAAAGUGCAUCCUUCAAAGAAGAUGACGGUACCUGGAAGGGUAAUGAUGAUGGCAAGGUGGUCAACAAUCAGCCCCAGCGAGUAAUGGACGACCGUAAUGGGUUGGGCCCACAGGCCGGUUACAUCGGAAGGAUUACGAACGAUGCCCGGGAGGAUGAGAUGGAGGAGAACAUGGGACAGGUGAACACGAUGAUCGGUAAUCUGCGAAACAUGGCGCUCGACAUGGGCUCCGAGCUGGAGAACCAGAACAGACAGAUCGACAGAAUCAAUCGCAAGGGCGCAUCAAAUGAGGACAGGAUAAAGGCGGCCAAUGAAAAAGCGCACUCGCUUCUCAAAUAAAAAGGGUACCGAGUAUAUAUAUAUGUAGCCAGUGCAUAUAUACAAUAUACACACCUAUCUAUACAUAGAUAUAUAUAUAUACAUAUACUUGUACGGUUAUCGUUAUUAUUUUACCUCCCAACCAUAUUACGGAUAUCGAACACGAACAAAGCCGCGAAAAAUGGAGAUUCCAACGCCACCAGGAUAGCAGCGGCUAACGAACGGGCUCACGAUCUGCUGAAAUAAGAUGCUUUCACCAGCAACAACAGACACACCACACGCACUCUAUGAGCGAAGGGUGGAGCAGGGAUAGUAGGCGACGUAAGCAAACAACGCAUAAGGACAGGAUGCGAUCGUAGAUCGAUCGGCAGGGUAUCUUUUCAAAGUUGCCGCCGGGAAGGACAUAGGACGAGAUAACAGUGAGGCGAAAUCCACCUACGAUUUACAACAACACCGCACCGCAAAACAGGACACAAACACUUGAAGAUGAGAGGAACAAACUUUCCGAAACGUGGACGUGGUUCGGACGGUGCUUUGCAUUUAACGCUGAGCGCUAAAAGCUGGCAGGAAUCAAACUAGGAAUGUGUCAGUCGUCGCCAUCGCGCUUGCUGAUUUAGUGUAAGAUGACGCUCUAGGCUUAAACAAUGAAAAAAGAAGAAGAAACACAUAGAGUCCGUUUGCUCAAAACGGAUGGAUCCGGGGGGAGAAAACGUAAAGGGGUCGAAUGCAUGCAAUUUUACACGAAACUCGCGAGACAGCGAAAUGCAAUACAACUUCAUCACAACACAGCGGGAAGCGUAGCGCGGAUUGAAAAUAUUACAACGAUACUCUUAGGUUUCAUUAGGUUGUGCAAGCUACUUUUGCGUUCGGCACUCUAAUUUUGACGCCUCGUCGUAAUUCUCGCAUCCGAUUCUUUCGUUCUGUGUGUGUGUGUGCCGCGCAACGGGCCGCCCCUUGCUCUGCCGUUGCCGUUUCCUUUCGCUUCCAAUGUCUAGGCUACCGGGACCAACGUAUCCUGUCCUUACGUUCGAAAUGCUUUCUCUUCUGGGACGGCUGGAUGAUCGACGAGACCUAUUUAUUACAAGUUUGUUGUUCGUUGCGUGCAAAAAAAAAACUGCAACAAAAAAAAGCUAGUUAAUCUUAAACCGAUGCCCGUUUUGUCCGGCGCAAGCGUACGCAUGCUUUCCGUAGCAGCUUUUAGUCACACAGUAGGAUAGGAUGAUACAAAUCUACUCCCCCGUUGGUUCGUCCCCCGAAUUGUGCUUGGUGGACGGCGUUUUUUGGGUUUGCAGUUUUUAGUCCCCCCCUUUGUAGCAUGUUGUAAAGGUUGGUUGAAGCGGGUUUGAUAAUCGGCCAUCCUCUUAAUGCAUUUUAAUCGUUACAGUAGCGUAAAGCCUUGCCACCGUACUAAUACUGUUAGGCGAAUAUUUUUUCCCAUCUUUUAACUCUGUUGUGGAGCUUUUGGUUUUAGGAUGAACUACGUUCGAGUGGUUUCCUUUUCUUCCCACCGAGACAGCAAAGCAUUUAGCAGAGCAUCAAUGGGGAACACCAGUCGAGAUGUGUAGCUAAUCAUCAUAUCACUGGGUGUGUGCUGGAUUGAACCAAAGUAAAGGACAGAUUCCCCAUUUUUUGUGAUGUGACUGUGUGCUGCCAGUGCAGAGGAAAUGUGUUGUGUGCAUUGUGCUUUUGUCCUGCCUGGCAUGGGUUGGACAGGGUUGGAAGAGUUCGGCCCCGGGUGCUAGUAACACUCGGUGUCGCUUUGAGCUUUGUUUCUCGGUCAAAUGGCCCGGACACUAGGAGGACAUUGAGUGUCAAACACUUUUUACAUUCAUCACCAGUAUAUGCUUCAGAAAUAGUGUCGUUACCAUAGUGCCAGUACAGCAUUAAUUCCGGCAAGAAGUUGCUUGCUCGCACCGGCUUUCGUUUCGCACCGGAUUGCGGGACGGAACGUGGACGCGCAGCAGGUGUUUGGCAAUGAGCGUGAAUAUGCAUUGAUUUGGCUCUUUUCAAAUUCGACCUAAUAGUGUAUGGUAGUGUUAUUUUAAAAGUUCUCACUGUAUACCAGCAUAUUUGACUAUUCCCUAGACGUUGGUUAUAGAUGGCCACCAUUGAAUCAUCGUUCAAUCUUGCAAAACCGUAGGUCCAGCACACGGCGGGUACUAGUUGAACUAGCAGGCCACAGAUUUAGCGUCAAAAUAAUCUCAAUUGUAUCUAGCUGACUCGAGCGCUUCUUACCGAUGGUGGAAUCGGUUUACCUACCGACUCGACCUAUGGGAACGCAACAAAAAUUGAUUUUCUUUUCCCCACUGGGUUCAUAAUUUGCAAGCAAUUUUUAUCUCAACGUAAGCUUCAAUCUCAAACAAUUCAAAAACACACGCACACACACACCAUUAAACUCAUGUGUGUGGAGCUGCGAAAAAGGGACGUACAGAAUACCCAUAGCCACCAAAAAAGAAGCAACAAACAAAAAAAAAACCACGUCGGGGGAAUAAUAGGCAAAUGAGCAAAAAGGGUAAAAUUACAACAACAAAAAAUUAAAAAAAAAAGCAAAAAGGCGUACUUUAAUAAUAAAUAUAAAUAUACAAAACUUAUACAUUAUUAAUGAUACAAUUAUUUACUUAGCAAAACGUGAGAGAGCGAGUAAAUGUGCAGUAUUGUGGGGGGGCGCGUUUAUAUCAUAUCAAGCAAGCAGGACGUGACGAACCCAGGCGACACAGACAGACAGACGGACGGACAGACAUUCUCACACAAUGAAAUAAGGAGAGCAAGGGGCGAAGCGGAUAAAUUAAAAACGUAGCAAAACUAAACACCGAAGUGAAUUGUAUCGCAAAGCAAAAGUUUAUAGUAAGACAGCAACGGGAAGCAUUGUGUGCAGCAUAACGGCAGCGUGUGUUAAGGCAUAGGGAUGCGAAUUGUCCAUUUGCAAAUGGCAAGUGUAAAACCAUUGUGGCAAAAACUUCACACAAAACUGAUGAUAAAAGAUUGCAAUAUUAGUGUGGUAUCGUACCGAUCCGGAAGCGAACGAGCAAAAAGCACUUAAACUCGACUCACUAAACGAGGAACGACAACCAAACAAACAAAAAGCAUUAAUCCAAGGCUAUAUAUAUAUACACACAUAUAUAGAAAAGUCCAGUUGCAAUGAACAAACAAAAACAAGCAAGAAACUUUAUCAUAUAAAUAUAUACCGAAAUAUACUGGACUGGUGAGUAGGCAGCAGGAGAACAGACAGCAACAGGACAUGGAACAGACGAUUUAAAAAAAAACUGACACGAGGAGACGUUCAAGUAUAUACACUCAUUAUUAUGUUUGAACAAAAUGACCGUUGAUUGAAUAGAUUCAUCAGCAAUAAUAAACAAUUGUGAUAAUACAAUACAUACACGAGGCGCGGAACUGUGGAAAAAAAAAACACACAUUACAUACACGGGGUUUGAAGGGCGAAUGUGUGCCAGCGAGGAUGUGAUGAUGGUGGGUGGCAGGCAGGAAUUAUGAAGCAAUCGAAAGAGAGUAGCAGCAGGAAACAAAAGGACAGCAACAAUUGACACAAAAAAAAUGAAGCGCGAAAGAAGGAGUAGCAUGUGUGGGAAAACUACAGAAUGGAAUGGAAAACUGAAGAAUCGGCUCAGUUUUAAUCUUACGCACGUACAGUGUGUCGGAGCAAUAGAAAAACAAAAUGGUUUUUCGAUUACACUCACAGUUCGACUCACAAUCGAAAUCACUCCAAUCGUUAGUACAUCUAAACUGCAGAACAGCACUUUAAACAGGCCGUUACUCUUCCACAUGAGCUCCGGCCGCAAUUUCGGGCGGCCCUCUCACACCCCGUUUUGAAGCAAAUCACACUUCCACCAUACAGCACCAUUUCUUCCUGUCUGUGCGGCAAACACGAACAAGGACAUUCUUCAAUCUUCCAUCCAUUCCGCGGCAGCAUUGUUGGACGGGGUGCUGCUUCCGGACAGGUACGCGCACACCCUGAUUGCCUGUUAGUUGAUCCUAUUUGUUGAAGUAUGAAGCCGUUGUUCAUAGGACGAGUCGUACACGAUCGUGCGUACGAAGUGCAAGCAAUUAUUGCUAGAUAAAUGUUAAGAAAUUCUCUGUGAACCGGUAGGAAAAAAUCGCGCAAUGAUGGUGGGAACUGGGAAGGGUACUAACAGGAGAGUGUGGCACAACAAACAAACAAGCAAAACCUUACAGAAACACAACACAACUAGAACAGCAGCAGUUACAGCAUUUAGCCCUCUCUCUCUCUCUCUUUCUCUCUCUUACUACCUUAGCGCGAUUGAUGUACUCCUGCACCACGUGUGGGACCGUGGUGUUGGGAUAGGUAAUCGUAAUCGUAAAACACUCAUAACCCAUCUCUUGUUGUCUUUAAAAAAAAAAGCAAAAGCUCUACGUGUGUGUGUAUAAACAAACAAACAAAAAACCCAAGUCAAAACGCGAGACAAAAAAAAGAACUCCAAAACUAUUGCCAUUUAUUCCGAGUGUAAUAGGUAAUGUCACCUAGUCACAGUCGCUAAGCUGCUAACUAGCAACAUUUAUUAGCAAACAGGAAACCAGUAGCUUAGUAAACGCUUAACGUUUCUCUCGGUGAGUUUCCUAUUGGAUUGGUUGUGUUUUUUUGGUUUAACGCAUCCUUACAACUACCACUGCUACGUCCCAUCUGCUUUGGGGCCUCUUUUUUAUUCGCGCCUCCACCCCACAAAGGAAAACAUUUCAGCUACAAAAAAAAAAGGAAAGAUGUGCUAAGGAAUGGAUAAGCAGCAGGAUGAGAAAGGUUGCGCAUAUUGGGAGGGCGAGAAAAAAGAAACAAACGUUUACGAAAUGUUAUCUAGUUAAGUUUGGCUACAAACAAACAAAAAAUUACUCUUAGCGUAAAUGAAUUCGAAACUUUGUAAAUAGAUUAUAAAUAUUAUAUACACACACACACGCAAACAGACACAUGAACACAAACACCGAUACAUGCAUGCCUACAUUACGGCGCACUGUGCAGGGCAAGGUGCGCACGUGUUACUCUGGUGGUUGUCAGGCGCAACUCAGCAUGCAACUAUGAAACGAAACCGAACCUGUUGAACAUUGCGUAAUGUAAUUGCAUACUAGGGGAGCAUACUGUGCGGAUUAAGUUUUUAAACUCUCUACCUGCGACAAGACAAUUGUUUUGCAAUGUAUGGUCCUAUGGCAAGAUCAGCUGUGUGGCGCCUUUCCAUUAGCAGUUGCAACUGUGUCUGCGCACGCUGCUUCCGGUUCCGGAAUAAUAGCAGCUCGAAGCCACAGCACCAAGAAGCUAGUAAUGCAAAGGAACGGUGGCUACCACCUUACCCGAAACAUCCCGUGAGAGGAACACAAAAUUGUACGGCCAAAAAGACACAACACAAACCCAAAUGACACACAUCACACACUACAAGUACUUCCUGCACACGAAUGAUGCACACUACGUUGGAUGGUUGCAUGUAAAACUGUUUGUUAUUUGAUUUUAAAAUUUAAAGUUUUUCCGGCCUAGUUUAACACCGCCAUCACACCGACUUUACGCGUGGUCUAUGGUGGUAAGCGAUUAUUUAUUGCUUUUGCAGAUAUUUAUCCAUCCGCUCAUUGACGUCGUGCUGCGAGAGAGAGAUUGGAAAUUGUUGAAGGGUGCGUGUGUUGACGUGUCCUUACCGAAUAGGCGGUAAAGGACCGCCCGACAGAGGAAGGGUUAGGGCGUGAAUCGUGUGUGCGAUGACAAUUGAGUGACAAAACUGUUUGUACAUACAUACAUACAUACAUACAUACAUACACGCAUGUACACCCUAAAUUCGUCAUCCUGACAUGUAUUGUUCGGCUAAGUUAAUUUGUGACUGCACCGGAAGCGACAUCUCAAGCUUGCACUCAACACCACCGUGUCCCUUCCGGAUAAAGGCGGUUCGCACACGCAUAUAUACAUACACAUGUGUUUAAAAAAUCAAUUUCGAUUCGCUUCACAUACACACACACACACCACUCUACUCACUCACACAUUGACAAUGCAAUGCAUUUACUUGAUAAGGGAACGGUUCAGCAGAAGGUAGAAAGGAUGAGCGCGUGAGGCAGGAAACAGCUAACAGGUAUUGAGCAAGAACAAAAGCUUUUUUGGUACAUUUCGUAUAAAAGGUAAAACAAAACAUUUCCCCCCCCCCCCCCCCUCUCCGCCCUCCACCAAAUAACAGACACUAAUUCAAAAUUAAACUAAUCCAACACAAGACAAAAGCAAACAAAAAAAACAUGCGUAUAAAACUAGCUGCAGAUUAAUUGAAACUGUAUUACGGUUAAUACUUUUUAAAAAUGUAUUUCAAGUAUCCUGUAAAAAUAAAAUGAUUAUAAUGGACCUAAA